UACGUAGGCAGCAAGCGUUGUUCGGAAUUACUGGGCGUAAAGGGUUCGUAGGUGGCUUGUUAAGUCAGACGUGAAAUCCCUCGGCUCAACCGGGGAACUGCGUCUGAGACUGAUGAGCUCGAGUGCAGGAGAGGAACGCGGAAUUCCAGGUGUAGCGGUGAAAUGCGUAGAUAUCUGGAGGAACACCGGUGGCGAAGGCGGCGUUCUGGACUGCAACUGACACUGAGGAACGAAAGCCAGGGGAGCAAACGGG
Molecule: ribosomal RNA, 253 nt
Filed under: uncultured bacterium
Lineage: Bacteria
Description: partial 16S ribosomal RNA
Rfam family: Bacterial small subunit ribosomal RNA
Source: RNAcentral